UGGCUCUCGCAUCGAUGAAGAACGCAGCGAAAUGCGAUAAGUAAUGUGAACUGCAGAAUUCAGUGAAUCAUCGAAUCUUUGAACGCACCUUGCGCUCCUUGGUAUUCCGAGGAGCACGCCUGUUUGAGUGUCAUUAAAUUCUCAACCUUGAAUGGCUUUUGUCUUUCAAGUGUUGGACUUGGGGGCUUUUUUUUGCUGGCUUCGAAAGAGGUCUGCUCCCCUGAAAUGCAUUAGCUGGUGCCUGUAGUGGGAAUCCCGGUGUGAUAAUUAUCUACGCUGUGUUUCUGCUUUGGAGCUGCCGCUUCUAAUCGUCUCUCAGAGACAAACCAAUGACAAUUUUGACCUCAAAUCAGGUGGGACUACCCGCUGA
Molecule: unclassified non-coding RNA, 370 nt
Filed under: uncultured fungus
Lineage: Eukaryota; Fungi
Description: partial contains 5.8S ribosomal RNA and internal transcribed spacer 2
Rfam family: 5.8S ribosomal RNA (bases 1-133)
Source: RNAcentral